Molecule: ribosomal RNA, 514 nt
Filed under: uncultured bacterium
Lineage: Bacteria
Description: bacterial SSU rRNA
Rfam family: Bacterial small subunit ribosomal RNA
Source: RNAcentral
GAUCCUGGCUUAGGAUGAACGCUAGCUACAGGCUUAACACAUGCAAGUCGAGGGGCAGCAUGAGAUUAGCUUGCUAAUCUGAUGGCGACCGGCGCACGGGUGCGUAACACGUAUCCAAUCUACCCAUGGCUCGGGGAUAGCCUUUCGAAAGAAAGAUUAAUACCCGAUGGUCUGCGAUUGAGACAUCUCGAUUGCAGUAAAGACUUGUCGGCGAUGGAUGGGGAUGCGUCCGAUUAGCUAGUUGGCGGGGUAACGGCCCACCAAGGCGACGAUCGGUAGGGGUUCUGAGAGGAAGGUCCCCCCACACUGGAACUGAGACACGGUCCAGACUCCUACGGGAGGCAGCAGUGAGGAAUAUUGGUCAAUGGGCGAUGGCCCGAACCAGCCAAGUAGCGUGAGGGACGACGGCCCUACGGGUUGUAAACCUCUUUUGUAUGGGAAUAAAGUGCGCCACGCGUGGCGUUUUGUAUGUACCUUACGAAUAAGCAUCGGCUAAUUCCGUGCCAGCAGCCGC